AAGGAAAGAUCCAGCAGUAGCAGGGAUGGAAGAAUUGGAUGAGGAAGAGAAGAUAGUUGAUUGGAGCUUAAAUCAAGUGAUAUCAGUCCUAGUCCAAUUGAUGGGAAGGCUUGAGGAUCUAUCUGAAAUAUGAAGAAUUUUCAAACUAUGAAAAUGCUCAGCUGCUUGGUGGGCAACACAUAUAGAAUUGCACACAAUAGAAUAGCGUCAAUUUUUUAUUUGUAG
Non-coding RNA from Caenorhabditis elegans, 225 nucleotides. Lineage: Eukaryota; Metazoa; Nematoda; Chromadorea; Rhabditida; Rhabditidae. The record is from Ensembl.